This 253-nucleotide ribosomal RNA is filed under the name uncultured bacterium. RNAcentral describes it as "partial 16S ribosomal RNA". It matches the Rfam family "Bacterial small subunit ribosomal RNA", at positions 524 to 776 of the family's 1533-position model. The record is from RNAcentral.
UACGGAGGGGACUAGCGUUGUUCGGAAUUACUGGGCGUAAAGCGCACGUAGGCGGAUUUGUAAGUCAGGGGUGAAAUCCCGGGGCUCAACCUCGGAACUGCCUUUGAUACUGCAAAUCUCGAGUCCGGAAGAGGUGAGUGGAAUUCCUAGUGUAGAGGUGAAAUUCGUAGAUAUUAGGAAGAACACCAGUGGCGAAGGCGGCUCACUGGUCCGGUACUGACGCUGAGGUGCGAAAGCGUGGGGAGCAAACGGG